GAUAAGGUUAAGUGAAUAAGGGCGCACGGUGGAUGCCUUGGCACUAGGAGCCGAUGAAGGACGGGACUAACACCGAUAUGCUUUGGGGAGCUGUAAGUAAGCUAUGAUCCAGAGAUUUCCGAAUGGGGGAACCCAAUAUCUUUUAUAGGAUAUUACUUUUCAGUGAAUACAUAGCUGAUUAGAGGUAGACGCAGAGAACUGAAACAUCUUAGUACCUGCAGGAAGAGAAAGAAAAUUCGAUUCCCUGAGUAGCGGCGAGCGAAACGGGAAGAGCCCAAACCAACAAGCUUGCUUGUUGGGGUUGUAGGACUCCAAUAUGGUAGUCUGUUAGUAUAGUUGAAGGAUUUGGAAAAUUCCGCUAAAGAGGGUGAAAGCCCCGUAGACGAAAUGCUGACAACACCUAGGAGGAUCCUGAGUACGGCGGAACACGAGAAAUUCCGUCGGAAUCCGCGGGGACCAUCCCGCAAGGCUAAAUACUCCCUAGUGACCGAUAGUGAACCAGUACCGUGAGGGAAAGGUGAAAAGCACCCCGGAAGGGGAGUGAAAUAGAUCCUGAAACCGUGUGCCUACAACAAGUCAAAGCUCGUUAAUGAGUGAUGGCGUGCCU
RNAcentral lists this ribosomal RNA (607 nucleotides) under Enterococcus faecalis. RNAcentral describes it as "partial 23S ribosomal RNA". It matches the Rfam family "Bacterial large subunit ribosomal RNA", at positions 1 to 606 of the family's 2925-position model. Lineage: Bacteria; Bacillati; Bacillota; Bacilli; Lactobacillales; Enterococcaceae. The record is from RNAcentral.